UACGUAGGGGGCAAGCGUUGUCCGGAUUUAUUGGGCGUAAAGAGCGUGUAGGCGGCUAGGUAGGUCCGUUGUGAAAACUCGAGGCUCAACCUCGAGACGCCGAUGGAAACCCUCCAGCUAGAGUCCGGAAGAGGAGAGUGGAAUUCCUGGUGUAGCGGUGAAAUGCGCAGAUAUCAGGAAGAACACCCGUGGCUAAGGCGGCUCUCUAGUACGGUACUGACGCUGAGACGCGAAAGCGUGGGGAGCGAACAGG
This 253-nucleotide ribosomal RNA is filed under the name uncultured bacterium. RNAcentral's name for it is "partial 16S ribosomal RNA". It matches the Rfam family "Bacterial small subunit ribosomal RNA", at positions 524 to 776 of the family's 1533-position model. The record is from RNAcentral.